Molecule: unclassified non-coding RNA, 329 nt
Filed under: soil metagenome
Description: partial contains 5.8S ribosomal RNA, internal transcribed spacer 2, and large subunit ribosomal RNA
Rfam family: 5.8S ribosomal RNA (bases 1-120)
Source: RNAcentral
GAUGAAGAACGCAGCGAAAUGCGAUAAGUAAUGUGAAUUGCAGAAUUCAGUGAAUCAUCGAAUCUUUGAACGCACAUUGCGCCCCCUGGUAUUCCGGGGGGCAUGCCUGUCCGAGCGACAUUACAACCCUCAAGCUCAGCUUGGUGUUGGGCCCCGCCGCCCCGGCGGGCCCUAAAGUCAGUGGCGGUGCCGUCCGGCUCCGAGCGUAGUAAUUCUUCUCGCUCUGGAGGUCCGGUCGUGUGCUCGCCAGCAACCCCCAAUUUUUUUCAGGUUGACCUCGGAUCAGGUAGGGAUACCCGCUGAACUUAAGCAUAUCAAUAAGCGGAGGA